Bombina bombina (fire-bellied toad) is the source of this 191-nucleotide small nuclear RNA. RefSeq annotates it as U2 spliceosomal RNA. NCBI's taxonomy places the organism in Eukaryota, Metazoa, Chordata, Amphibia, Anura, Bombinatoridae. The record is from RefSeq and is a predicted model, not a curated record. The transcript has a single exon.
AUUGCUUCUUUGCCUUUUGGCUAAGAUUAAGUGUAGUAUCUGUUCUUAUUAGUUUAAUAUCUGAUACGUCCCCUAUCUGGGGACCAUAUAUUAAAUGGAUUUUUGGAACAGGGAGUUGGAAGAAGAGCUUGCUCUGUCCACUCCACGCAUUGACCUGGUAUUGCAGUACCUCCAGGACCAGUGCACCAAAA